CCUCUCCCGAGAAAAGAUCGAGUGCUCCUCAGACACCGUCUCCCCUCUCUCUCUCAACACACAGAAAAAUUUCAAUGUUCAAUUUGGUCACCGGAGUUGCUUCGCCGGAAAAUUGAUCGGUCAGCAAUCGACGAUCGGCCUUCCGACUACCUGUACAGAUGGAAUUCAUCACAGUCCCUUCGUACUGACACUCGUAAAGAAAGAAUCUUUAAGGCCUCGACCGAAGAGUGAAAGUGAAAUCAAUUUACUGUGAAGUGGAAGAAGCAAAAUGUCUUUCCAGAACAAGGGAUUUUGGAUGCCAAAGGGUGCUGGACAUGUUAAUGAUGGAGAUGCAACUUACGGCAACCCUUC
Molecule: non-coding RNA, 351 nt
Organism: Prunus mume (Japanese apricot)
Lineage: Eukaryota; Viridiplantae; Streptophyta; Magnoliopsida; Rosales; Rosaceae
Source: RefSeq, a predicted model, not a curated record